This 98-nucleotide ribosomal RNA is filed under the name uncultured bacterium. RNAcentral's name for it is "partial 16S ribosomal RNA". The record is from RNAcentral.
CACCGCCCGUCACGCCAUGGAAGUGGUGAGCGCCCGAAGUCCGUGUCGGAACCCGACCAAGGGCCGAAGCGCCGAAGGCGAGCAUCAUGACUGGGGCG